Molecule: ribosomal RNA, 113 nt
Filed under: uncultured eukaryote
Lineage: Eukaryota
Description: partial small subunit ribosomal RNA
Rfam family: Eukaryotic small subunit ribosomal RNA
Source: RNAcentral
UCGCUACUACCGAUUGAAUGGCUUAGUGAGUUCUAGAGAUUGAGGUAUUUGAACGGCUUGUUCGUUCUCUUGCUUUGAGAACUAGCGCAAACUUGAUCAUUUAGAGGAAGUAA